This 960-nucleotide long non-coding RNA is filed under the name Carassius auratus (goldfish). Its description in RNAcentral is "lncRNA (ENSCARG00000017891.1)". Lineage: Eukaryota; Metazoa; Chordata; Actinopteri; Cypriniformes; Cyprinidae. The record is from RNAcentral.
UUCAUCAUCUCUAUGAAAUCACGUUCAAGAAGUCUCAUUCAGCACAGAUCGCGAUACUUGCCAUCAGUUUCCAUGUGCCACAGGGUCGCUGAAAAGAUGUAAAGGAAGCAGUCAUCCCUGUGGUGUUUGUGGAGAGGUAUUUUUUCAGAAAUGGAGAAGGCAGAAAGCUGCGGAGGCAGACAUUUGCAGCAGCCAAGUGUUCGAGUGAGCAUGAUGACCACAAGUGUGUGUCGAACUUUUCAUCACCUGAUGACAGUGUUUCCCAAUCCUGAUCCUGGAGAACCCCAGCACUGCACGGUUUUGGCGUCUCUCUUAUCUGUCUUGGAGUCUUCACUGAUGAGCUGAUGAGUUGAAUCAGGUGUGUUUGAUCAGGGAGACAUCUUAAAUGUGCAGUGUUGGGCUUCUCCAGGACCAGGAUUGGGAGCCACUGCCUUAUGGGACACAUCUAAGUGUUUACAGAGAUUUUUAGUUUGAUCAUUCAACUUUGCAUUUUAAAAUAAAUUAAUUGAAAAAUUAUUUUCAAUAUCUAAUUAUUAUUAUUAUUAUUAUUAUUAAUAUUUUACAUACAUUGUAAAGGUUUCCGUGACCCCUUGUGAGAUCUCGACAAAAGGUCUCACAAUUUAUUCCAAAAAUUGAUGCAUGAUGGGAUACACUAAGCCUGGUAUAGAGCUCCGGAGCGGUAUUGGAGAUAAUGUGGGUUUAGUGUUCAUUAAGGGCACUGCGCUUUGGCAUUAUUAAGACUUGCGCACUACUGAUAACAGUCCUGUUAGCUUGUAAUAAUUUUUUUUAAUAUAUAUAUGAAUAUAGCUGUAUAAUUACACACACACAUACGCACAGUAAUGUAUAAGAUGCAUGUAAUGUAGUAAUAUUUUUCUUUCUUUCUGUCUUACAGGAUUGUUUGCAGAUAAUGCUGUUCAAGCUCAACAGCUCUUUUAAGAGCUAACCCUCACAAACCUUCCU